AAUCUGGGGUCCCCGACCUCCGAGUUGUAAUUUGGAGAGGCAUCUUCGGGGGGGAGCGCCGGCCCAUGUUCCUUGGAACAGGACGUCGCAGAGGGUGAGAAUCCCGUGCCAGGCCGGCUCCCUCCUCCCGGGUGAAGCGCCUUCGACGAGUCGAGUUGUUUGGGAAUGCAGCUCCAAGUGGGUGGUAAGUUUCAUCUAAAGCUAAAUACCGGCGGGAGACCGAUAGCGCACAAGUAGAGUGAUCGAAAGAUGAAAAGCACUUUGAAAAUAGAGUCAAAAAGUACGUGAAAUUGUUGAAAGGGAAGCGCUUGAGACCAGAYUCAGGCCCGGGCAAACACCGCGCCCCCCCGGGGCCGUGCAAUUGCCUGGGGCUGGGCCAGCAUCAGUCGGCGUGGCGGGAAAAAGGCGCGGGUAAUGUGGCUCCCCUCGGGGAGUGUUACCAGCCCCGCGCUCAAUGCCGCCGACGCCGACUGAGGACCGCGCCUCGGCUAGGAUGCUGGCUUAAUGGCCUUCAGCGACCCGUCUUGAAACACGGACCAAGGAGUCUAACAUCUAUGCGAGUGUUUGGGCGCCAAACCCUUGCGCGGAAUGAAAGUGAGCGGAGGUGGGAACCCCCC
RNAcentral lists this ribosomal RNA (617 nucleotides) under Helvella capucina. RNAcentral's name for it is "eukaryotic LSU rRNA". It matches the Rfam family "Eukaryotic large subunit ribosomal RNA", at positions 119 to 747 of the family's 3401-position model. The record is from RNAcentral. Lineage: Eukaryota; Fungi; Ascomycota; Pezizomycetes; Pezizales; Helvellaceae.